Molecule: ribosomal RNA, 785 nt
Filed under: uncultured Bacillota bacterium
Lineage: Bacteria; Bacillati; Bacillota
Description: bacterial SSU rRNA
Rfam family: Bacterial small subunit ribosomal RNA
Source: RNAcentral
AGAGUUUGAUCAUGGCUCAGGACGAACGUGGCGGAGUGCUUAACACAUGCAAGUCGAGCGGAGAUAGUUGAAGUUUCGGCGGAUACUAUUUUAGCGGCGGACGGGUGAGUAACGCGUGAGCAAUCUGUCCCAGACAGGGGGAUAACACUUGGAAACAGGUGCUAAUACCGCAUAAGACCACGAGAGGGCAUCCUCUUGAGGUAAAAGAUUUAUCGGUUUGGGGUGAGCUCGCGUCCCAUUAGAUAGUUGGUGAGGUAACGGCCCACCAAGUCGACGAUGGGUAGCCGACCUGAGAGGGUGAUCGGCCACAUUGGAACUGAGAAACGGUCCAGACUCCUACGGGAGGCAGCAGUGGGGAAUAUUGGGCAAUGGGCGCAAGCCUGACCCAGCAACGCCGCGUGAAGGAAGAAGGUUUUCGGAUUGUAAACUUCUGUCCUAAGUGACGAAGGAAGUGACGGUAGCUUAGGAGGAAGCCCCGGCUAACUACGUGCCAGCAGCCGCGGUAAUACGUAGGGGGCGAGCGUUGUCCGGAAUGACUGGGCGUAAAGGGCGUGUAGGCGGCCGAUUAAGUCUGAAGUGAAAGUCCUGCUUUCAAGGUGGGAAUUGCUUUGGAGACUGGUUGGCUUGAGUGCGGAAGAGGUAAGUGGAAUUCCCAGUGUAGCGGUGAAAUGCGUAGAGAUUGGGAGGAACACCAGUGGCGAAGGCGACUUACUGGGCCGUAACUGACGCUGAGGCGCGAAAGCGUGGGGAGCGAACAGGAUUAGAUACCCUGGUAGUCCACGCUA